AUCUUAUCUAGAGUGGUGGAGGGACUGGCCCAAUGAAACCCGGCAACCGGCCAAAAUUUGGCGACGGUGCCAACUCCUGCGGAACCGAGUAGGUUCUGAGAGAUGAGGG
This 109-nucleotide non-coding RNA is filed under the name Desulforamulus ferrireducens. RNAcentral's name for it is "Desulfotomaculum ferrireducens SAM-I sequence". It matches the Rfam family "SAM riboswitch aptamer (S box leader)". Rfam says of the family: The SAM riboswitch is found upstream of a number of genes which code for proteins involved in methionine or cysteine biosynthesis in Gram-positive bacteria. The SAM riboswitch acts at the level of transcription termination control. The predicted structure consists of a complex stem-loop region followed by a single stem loop terminator region. Lineage: Bacteria; Bacillati; Bacillota; Clostridia; Eubacteriales; Peptococcaceae. The record is from Rfam by way of RNAcentral.